UCUUCCGCAAUGGACGAAUGUCUGACGGAGCAACGCCGCGUGAGUGAUGAAGGUUUUCGGCUCGUAAAACUCUGUUGUUAGGGAAGAACNAGUACCGCUCGAAUAGGGCGGUACCUUGACGGUACCUAACCAGAAAGCCACGGCUAACUACUUGCCAGCAGCCGCGGUAAUACGUAGGUGGCAAGCGUUGUCCGGAAUUAUUGGGCGUAAAGCGCGGGCAGGCGGUUUCUUAAGACUGAUGUGAAAGCCCCCGGCUCAACCGGGGAGGGUCAUUGGAAACUGGGGAACUUGAGUGCAGAAGAGGAGGGUGGAAUUCCACGUGUAGCGGUGAAAUGCGUAGAGAUGUGGAGGAACACCAGUGGCGAAGGCGACUCUCUGGUCUGUAACUGACGCUGGGGCGCGAAAGCGUGGGGAGCGAACAG
Molecule: ribosomal RNA, 422 nt
Filed under: uncultured bacterium
Lineage: Bacteria
Description: bacterial SSU rRNA
Rfam family: Bacterial small subunit ribosomal RNA
Source: RNAcentral